RNAcentral lists this ribosomal RNA (253 nucleotides) under uncultured bacterium. RNAcentral describes it as "partial 16S ribosomal RNA". It matches the Rfam family "Bacterial small subunit ribosomal RNA", at positions 524 to 776 of the family's 1533-position model. The record is from RNAcentral.
GACGGAGGAUGCAAGCGUUAUCCGGAAUUACUGGGCGUAAAGGGCUCGUAGGUGGCCAACUAAGUCAGACGUGAAAUCCCUCGGCUUAACCGGGGAACUGCGUCUGAUACUGGAUGGCUUGAGUUUGGGAGAGGGACGCGGAAUUCCAGGUGUAGCGGUGAAAUGCGUAGAUAUCUGGAGGAACACCGGUGGCGAAGGCGGCGUCCUGGACCAACACUGACACUGAGGAGCGAAAGCCAGGGGAGCAAACGGG